The sequence is a transfer RNA, 86 nucleotides long. It matches the Rfam family "tRNA". From Rfam's summary of the family: Transfer RNA (tRNA) molecules are approximately 80 nucleotides in length. Their secondary structure includes four short double-helical elements and three loops (D, anti-codon, and T loops). The record is from Rfam.
UCCGAUAUGGUGUAGUGGCCAACAUGAUGCCCUCUCAUCUCGUGAGAGGCUAGGCAUAGCCCCGAGUUCGAUUCUCGGUUUCGGAA